UAAUGACCGGUCCCUUAUUGUUAAAAUCGAGGAUGUCGUUAAAAUUAAACUGUUUAAACCUGUAAGAUCUUCGGGAACAUUUUAUAUUAUGUCGUGUUUUACCAAAUAAUGUCCUUGCCCUUGCACGGUUCCCAUUUGUAAAAAACUGCUGUAAAUCAUAUCCCCCUUUAAUUAAUUUGAUCUCAUCCGUGAGUCGGCCUCGAAGGCCUUUGAUAAUAAUUAAAGGCAGUUUAGUUAAAGAGCACUUUAAAACCGGUGUGCGAAGCGUUUGUGGUUGAAUUUUGCCUUAAAUUGAGGCUUAUAUUACGUAUAAUAACAUACCUAAAUAUAUAUGUUGGGAAAUUAAUGAUUUU
This is a non-coding RNA of Paramuricea clavata, 353 nucleotides long. The record is from the annotation of a GenBank genome assembly. NCBI's taxonomy places the organism in Eukaryota, Metazoa, Cnidaria, Anthozoa, Malacalcyonacea, Plexauridae.